Molecule: ribosomal RNA, 497 nt
Filed under: uncultured bacterium
Lineage: Bacteria
Description: partial 16S ribosomal RNA
Rfam family: Bacterial small subunit ribosomal RNA
Source: RNAcentral
GAUGAACGCUGGCGGCGUGCCUAAUACAUGCAAGUCGAGCGAACAGACGAGGAGCUUGCUCCUCUGACGUUAGCGGCGGACGGGUGAGUAACACGUGGAUAACCUACCUAUAAGACUGGGAUAACUUCGGGAAACCGGAGCUAAUACCGGAUAACAUGUUGAACCGCAUGGUUCAACAGUGAAAGACGGUCUUGCUGUCACUUAUAGAUGGAUCCGCGCCGCAUUAGCUAGUUGGUAAGGUAACGGCUUACCAAGGCAACGAUGCGUAGCCGACCUGAGAGGGUGAUCGGGCACACUGGAACCGGGACACUGUCCAGACUCCUACGGGAGGCAGCAGUAGGGAAUCUUCCGCAAUGGGCGAAAGCCUGACGGAGCAACGCCGCGUGAGUGAAGAAGGUCUUCGGAUCGUAAAACUCUGUUAUUAGGGAAGAACAAAUGUGUAAGUAACUAUGCACGUCUUGACGGUACCUAAUCAGAAAGCCACGGCUAACUACGUG